RNAcentral lists this microRNA (16 nucleotides) under Corchorus olitorius. Its description in RNAcentral is "hsa-miR-42". Lineage: Eukaryota; Viridiplantae; Streptophyta; Magnoliopsida; Malvales; Malvaceae. The record is from RNAcentral.
CUCUCCUCCCGAGUUC